AGUGAACGCUGGCGGUAUGCCUAACACAUGCAAGUCGAACGGCAGCACAGUAAGAGCUUGCUCUUACGGGUGGCGAGUGGCGGACGGGUGAGGAAUACAUCGGAAUCUACUUUUUCGUGGGGGAUAACGUAGGGAAACUUACGCUAAUACCGCAUACGACCUACGGGUGAAAGCAGGGGAUCUUCGGACCUUGCGCGAUUGAAUGAGCCGAUGUCGGAUUAGCUAGUUGGCGGGGUAAAGGCCCACCAAGGCGACGAUCCGUAACUGGUCUGAGAGGAUGAUCAGCCACACUGGAACUGAGACACGGUCCAGACUCCUACGGGAGGCAGCAGUGGGGAAUAUUGGACAAUGGGCGCAAGCCUGAUCCAGCCAUACCGCGUGAGUGAAGAAGGCCUUCGGGUUGUAAAGCCCUUUUGUUGGGAAAGAAAAGAAGCAGGUUAAUACCCCGCUGUUCUGACGGUAACCAAAGAAUAAGCACCGGCUAACUUCGUG
RNAcentral lists this ribosomal RNA (492 nucleotides) under uncultured bacterium. RNAcentral describes it as "partial 16S ribosomal RNA". It matches the Rfam family "Bacterial small subunit ribosomal RNA", at positions 29 to 507 of the family's 1533-position model. The record is from RNAcentral.